GGGAGGCAGCAGUGGGGGAAUAUUGCACAAUGGGGGGAAACCCUGAUGCAGCCAUGCCGCGUCGUGUGAAGAAGGCCUUCGGGUUGUAAAGCACUUUCAGGUUGGGAGGAAGGUAGUGUAGUUAACACCUGCACCUAUUUGACGUUACCUACAGAACGAAGCACCGGCUAACUCCGUGCCAGCAGCCGCGGUAAUACGGAGGGUGCGAGCGUUAAUCGGAAUUUACUGGGCGUAAAGCGCAUGCAGGCGGCCUGUUAAGUCAGAUGUGAAAGCCCCGGGGCUUAACCUCGGAAUUGCAUUUGAAACUGGCAGGCUAGAGUCUUGUAGAGGGGGUAGAAUUUCAGGGUGUUAGCGGUGAAAUGCGUAGAGAUCUGAAGGAAUACCAGUGGCGAAGGCGGCCCCCCUGGACAAAGACUGACGCUCAGAUGCGAAAGCGUGGGGAGCAAAACAGGAUUAGAUACCCUGGUAG
RNAcentral lists this ribosomal RNA (469 nucleotides) under uncultured bacterium. Its description in RNAcentral is "bacterial SSU rRNA". It matches the Rfam family "Bacterial small subunit ribosomal RNA", at positions 343 to 793 of the family's 1533-position model. The record is from RNAcentral.